CAGGGAAUCUUGCACAAUGGACGAAAGUCUGAUGCAGUGACGCCGCGUGAGGGAUGAAGGCCCUAGGGUUGUAAACCUCUUUCAGCAGGGACGAAGCGAAAGUGACGGUACCUGCAGAAGAAGCCCCGGCCAACUACGUGCCAGCAGCCGCGGUAAUACGUAGGGGGCGAGCGUUGUCCGGAUUUAUUGGGCGUAAAGCGCGUGUAGGUGGUUCGUAAAGUCGGGUGUGAAAGUCCAGGGCUCAACCCUGGGAUGCCACUCGAUACUUGCGGACUAGAGGUAGGUAGGGGGAUCUGGAAUUCCUGGUGUAGCGGUGAAAUGCGCAGAUAUCAGGAGGAACACCGGUGGCGAAGGCGGGAUCCUGGGCCUUACCUGACACUGAGACGCGAAAGCUGGGGGAGCGAACAGG
RNAcentral lists this ribosomal RNA (409 nucleotides) under uncultured bacterium. Its description in RNAcentral is "bacterial SSU rRNA". It matches the Rfam family "Bacterial small subunit ribosomal RNA", at positions 355 to 776 of the family's 1533-position model. The record is from RNAcentral.